This 339-nucleotide unclassified non-coding RNA is filed under the name soil metagenome. RNAcentral's name for it is "partial contains 5.8S ribosomal RNA, internal transcribed spacer 2, and large subunit ribosomal RNA". The stretch from base 1 to 120 matches the Rfam family "5.8S ribosomal RNA", at positions 35 to 154 of the family's 154-position model. The record is from RNAcentral.
GAUGAAGAACGUAGUGAAAUGCGAUACGUAGUGUGAAUUGCAGAAUUCAGUGAAUCAUCGAAUCUUUGAACGCACAUUGCACCUCCCGGUAUUCCGGGAGGUAUGCCUGUUCGAGCGUCAUUUGUACCCUCAAGCUCUGCUUGGUGUUGGGUGUUUGUUCCGCCUCUGUGUGUGAACUCGCCUCAAAACAAUUGGCAGCCGGCGUACUUGUUUCGGAGCGCAGCACAUUUUGCGAUCCAGAUCAACGUACAGCGGCAUCCAAGAAGCCUUAUUUAACGCUCUUGACCUCGGAUCAGGUAGGGAUACCCGCUGAACUUAAGCAUAUCAAUAAGCGGAGGA